GACGAACGCUGGCGGCGUGCUUAACACAUGCAAGUCGAACGAUGAACCCGGAGCUUGCUCUGGGGGAUUAGUGGCGAACGGGUGAGUAACACGUGAGUAACCUGCCCUGGACUCUGGGAUAAGCGUUGGAAACGACGUCUAAUACCGGAUAGGACCUUGGAUCGCAUGAUCUGGGGUGGAAAGUUUUUUCGGUCUGGGAUGGACUCGCGGCCUAUCAGCUUGUUGGUGAGGUAAUGGCUCACCAAGGCGUCGACGGGUAGCCGGCCUGAGAGGGUGACCGGCCACACUGGGACUGAGACACGGCCCAGACUCCUACGGGAGGCAGCAGUGGGGAAUAUUGCACAAUGGGCGAAAGCCGGAUGCAGCAACGCCGCGUGCGGGAUGACGGCCUUCGGGUUGUAAACCGCUUUUAGUAGGGAAGAAGGGCUUCGGCUUGACGGUACCUGCAGAAAAAGGACCGGCUAACUACGU
RNAcentral lists this ribosomal RNA (471 nucleotides) under uncultured bacterium. RNAcentral describes it as "partial 16S ribosomal RNA". It matches the Rfam family "Bacterial small subunit ribosomal RNA", at positions 28 to 506 of the family's 1533-position model. The record is from RNAcentral.